This 264-nucleotide ribosomal RNA is filed under the name uncultured archaeon. RNAcentral's name for it is "partial 16S ribosomal RNA". It matches the Rfam family "Archaeal small subunit ribosomal RNA", at positions 722 to 983 of the family's 1478-position model. The record is from RNAcentral.
AGACGUCUACAUAGAUACCCGUGUAGUCCCAGCCGUAAACUAUGCGCGUUAGGUGUAUCGGUGACCACGAGUUACCGAGGUGCCGAAGGGAAACCGUGAAACGUGCCGCCUGGGAAGUACGGUCGCAAGGCUGAAACUUAAAGGAAUUGGCGGGGAGCACCACAACAGGUGGAGCCUGCGGUUUAAUUGGACUCAACGCCGGGAAGCUCACCGGAUAGGACAGCAGAAUGAUUGCCGGGCUGAAGACCCUGCAUGACUAGCUGU